Molecule: ribosomal RNA, 253 nt
Filed under: uncultured bacterium
Lineage: Bacteria
Description: partial 16S ribosomal RNA
Rfam family: Bacterial small subunit ribosomal RNA
Source: RNAcentral
GACGUAGGGGGCCAGCGUUGUUCGGAAUUACUGGGUGUAAAGGGUUCGUAGGCGGUGCGGCAAGUUGGGAGUGAAAUCUCUGGGCUUAACCCAGAGGCUGCUUCCAAAACUGCUGUGCUUGAGUGUGGGAGAGGCGCGUGGAAUUGCAGGUGUAGCGGUGAAAUGCGUAGAUAUCUGCAGGAACACCCGUGGCGAAAGCGGCGCGCUGGACCACAACUGACGCUGAGGAACGCAAGCUAGGUGAGCAAACAGG